AUUCAACAAUGCUAUUUAAAAUUGGAUAAAUAAAGGCAAAUGAAAUUAUAAAAAUGGAUCAUCACUUUUAUGGAAAGCCAACUAAACCAAUGUUUUGCUCAACAUGUCAAGCAUUAGGGGACUUUAAUAAAAUAUUGAAAGUGAGUUCCCCAGAGGAGAUGAGCAAUUCAAAAAUAGAAUGUAUGAGAACAGUGCUAAUUGAUACUUCAAAUACGAAUGGCACUCCGUAUCCUUAUGGAUGAGGAAGCGUGUUAUCUGAUGAGAUGACACAAAUCAUGCAAUGGGAGUCUCUGGGGCCCAGUGGACAGCAGCUGUGCAGGAUCUGAGGCUGUGGAUGUUAACAACACUGCUCCCUGGGAAUCCACAGGAGAGAUUCGUUCACUGCCAUGUAGAACCAUGUUGUACAGGAUUUACUGUUGUGAAAGUUUCCCAGAGUUCUGAUAACAAUGGGUAGUCAGAACCUAGAUUAUCUGAACCAAGAUAGAACGCUGCACGGAAUGCAGCACUGCACAGCACUGCUCUUGUCUAUUGGGCCCUCCAUGAAGGAGCUAAUUUAUCCACCCUCCCUUCUGUUGAACCAUCAGUGGGUAAUCUCAGGAGCUUAUUUUGGAAUAACUGCUCAGCUACUAAUGGAAUAAAGAGUAUAAUGAAUGAACAUAAGUGGACACUAAAGCCUGUUAGUGAAAGGGUGUGGCUAACUUUAUGAUGGAGGCAUCCAACUGACACCACCUGAAUUCACUGAUGAAGCCUAGAGAAAUGGGACAGCUGUGCCAGCACGUGCCUUGUGAUGUGAUGCACCAGGAAGUAUGAAGUUUUCUUGCCCAAAAAAAUUCAACCUGAAUCUCAUCAAGCCACUUUACAGGACAUACAGGGGAUCAAGAAACAAGUAAAAUGACACUGAGGGGGAGGCAAUAAGACAAAUCCAGAAUGUGGGUCAUUUUACAGGACAAAUUACCCAAUUUCUACAGCAAAUGAGUAGUCAGGGAAGGGAGGAAGAUGGUAUAAAAGAGAAGAGACUUACGGACAUAGCCAAAUGCUGUGUGUGGCUCUUAUUUGGAUUCUGAUUAGAAGAAACCACCUGUAAAAAUACGGCUUUGAGACCAUCAGGGAAGUCCGAACAUGGACCUGGUGUUAGAUGAUAAUUUAAAAUUAUUGUUAGGUAUGAAUAAUAGCAUUUAGUUAUUUUUAAAACAUUUUUGUCAAUUAGAAAUGCAUACUAAAAUUUUUACAGGUGAUAUGACACAAUAUCUGGAAUUUUCUGGAAAAUGCUUGAGCAAAAAGAAAGGUAGGCGGACAGAUGAAAUGAGAUUGGCAGGGCUGGCCCGGUGGUGCAGCGGUUAAGUGUGCAUGUUCUGCGGCCUUGGGUUCGCUGGUUCGGAUCCUGGGUGCGGAUGUGGCACUGCUUGGCAAAAAGCUAUGCUGUGGUAGACGUCCCACAUAUAAAGUGGAGGAAGAUGGGCACAGAUGUUAGCUCAGGGCCAGUCUUCCUCAGCAAAAAGAGGAGGAUUGGCAAUAGUUAGCUCAGGGCUAAUCUUCCUCAAAAAAAAAGAAAAGAAAUGAGAUUGGUAACAUAUUGCUAAUUGCUGAAGCCUGAUGCUGGGUAUGCAGAGCUUUACAAUAUUCUCCUUAUUUGGGGGUAUGCUUGAAAUUUUCCAGAAUAAGAAGUCUUUUAAAAUAUACUUUUGCUGUAGACACUCACCCCUUACAAGUCAGGCUAAUGAGUUCCAGAAGUUGAAGUUUUUAUUACUCAAGAAGCAGGAAGUCGAGGUUCUUAUACUCAGGAAGUAAACAUUCUCUUCCCCUGAUAAGGCCCCUAUAAACACCCCUGGAAGGGCAUUGAAAGUCAAAACUCAGUUUUCAUUAUUCUGAAAUCCAUUUUUUCUCUCAUAGCCUGAAAAAAGCACCGGUGGUUUUUUCCUCAGCCACGUUACUCUCUUCUAUAAGAGCUUAAUAAGACACACGGAGAAAAUGGAUCUCCAUUUGCAGGUUUUGCUGCUUGAGAACCAUUAAAAGACCCUUAAGAGCAUCACUCAUCUAUUAAGUGAAAGGGAACUCUUAACAUUAAAUUAAGGGAAAACAACUCUUUCAUACUAGGAGGUUUUGCUGUUUAAAAUACACUAUUUAGAUAAUGAAAAAAUACUGAAGCAAAAAUGGUUGUACUUUGUUGUAGCAUAUUUCUAGAGGAACAGGAGAGCUCUCAGAAAAUCUACACCUUACUUUGUUCUUCAUCACCUAAAAGAAAUGGCUUCAGAUUAAAAUUUCCUGAAUCAAAAAGUACUUUUAUUAAUCUGAGAGCAUUUAUAAAUUGUGAGGUCAGUACUGUAAAAGUCUGUGCAAUGAUUUAAUUCUUAGAGGCUAUUUGGCUUUCAUUGCCUUUAAAGCUGAAGUUGGCUAUUUCACUCACUCCAGGAUGGCUAAUUAACAUCCACAACACAAUUCUCUUGGCCGUCAUUCCUUCAAAUGUCUAUCUCCAACCCAGAAGACAUCAGCCAGGAUAUUAGCUUAGGCCCUUUUUAGUAAUUUUAUAAAUAAUAUUUCAACUUUGUUUUGGAGGUGAUGGGGAAAGUUUCCAUGUGGGAAGAAAUGUAAUAGUGUAGCAAGAUGAACAACCCAGUAUGUGCUAGAAGGAGUUCUUCCUGUUGACCAGCUCUGAAUGUCUGCAAAUACCUCAUUUUCCAGAAGUCUUAAAUAAAGAUAUUUAAUAUUCACCUUGGAGUCA
Long non-coding RNA from Equus caballus (horse), 2719 nucleotides. The record is from Ensembl. Lineage: Eukaryota; Metazoa; Chordata; Mammalia; Perissodactyla; Equidae.